UGAUGCGUGUUCUUUAAGUCCGUUGCUAAAAUUUCUUUGCCACGUUGUGUCUUGAUUUCAGGUUUUUCUGUUCUUGAUUUCUUUCAUACAUUCCUAUAAAUUGGAUGAAUCUAGAUGGGUUUUGCGAUUCUUGAUAAAUUGGAUAACAACAGAGACACGGUUCCAGAUAAAUUGAAUUGAACUAUGAACAUGUUUUUGAAUUCUUGAUUCUAAAGUUUUGUUCGUUCAUAAGAUCCGUUGCUCAGAUUUGUUUGCUUUGGUCAUGUUUUGAUUUCAGGAUUUGAUUUGUUGAUCUGAAGAAGUUUAUUGGAUAUAAUUUUUGAUAAAUUGGAUAACAACAUAGAACGGCUCCAGAUAAAUUUAAUUGAACUGUCAACAUAUCUUUCUUGAUUUGCUCUCGGAUUUUGGUUUCUUAAUUCUAAAAAUUUGAUUUUUCACGUUUCUUGAUUUGUUAUGUUAUCUUGAUGGUUUACUCUGAGAAAUCUUGAUUUCAGGGAUGGCUGUUCUUGUUUUCUUUGAUCUGCUGCUAUAAACUAUUGAUAUGGUUUUCUCAGAUUGUAGAUAUCACACGAUCACACUUCUAUUCACUCUUCUUUUAAAGCAUUGUCGGUUAUCAAUAAUUAUUUGUAUAAUUUUUUGAUAUAAUUCAUCAAUUGAUAAUGAGAGAGCAUUUAUCCGUUUUGCUUUUGCAGUGAGCUGAAAAGUUCGGUGUCUAGAGCGACUCUAUACAAUAGACAAGAUCAGAGAACAGUCCCAGAUAGAUAAAUCAAGAUUUUUUUUCGAUGAAUAUCUGCUUACUAUUUUUUCAGAUUUGAUUUUAAGACGUGCAAAUUAAACUGAACAUGUUUUUCUGCAGAGUGGUUUGUCAAAAUGUUAACCUUCUUCAUUGCAUGGAGAUGGAGGCCAGAAUUUUGGUUUGUGUGUACAAUAUGAAUUCAUAGAGGAAACUAGCUUUCUCUUUUUGUGAAUUGUCGAUAACAAACACUAAUCACUAUUUAUAUAGAUGAAAUCAUAUGAAGAAAAAAUAAAUAAUAAUAAGUAAUAUAAAAUCUAAUCUUUAAAGAUACUAAUAUAAUAUCAAAGAUAUACUAUAGAUAUUUUUGGAUAUUUUAACGGUUUGAUCUUCAUGUUAUGUACUCUUUUGAGGUUUUAUUUGGUUGUUGGUUUUGAUCUUAAAGUUAAGUUUGCUGUUCUAUUUUUAUUGAGCUGCUACUGUUAUUAAGUUUCUUUUUUCAAUUGUUUUGUGAAAGCAGAUGCAUGAUUAUCACCUCUGUGCAGUGUAGUAUGUUUUGAGACAAUUUACUUAAUCAGGUUUAUUUUCGUACACACUACUUGGAUUGUGAAUUAUUUUCAAUUCAUUUAUUCCCCUUGGAGUUUUAUUGUGCAAUCUUCUCGACAAGUCUAUUUUGAUGACAAGUUUAUUGAGGUGUGGUGAAUGUUGGUAUUGAAAAGUUCAGUUGUAGGGUUCCUUAUGCCAUCAAUACAUUUAUGUUUUUGACUUGUAAUAUGACAGUGUGAAAGUUACAAAAUUUUGGAUAAAUUGGGAGUGAACAGCUUAGUGGAGCUCUCUUCCUAACUAUGAUAUCAGGGACUUGGUUCGGAGAAUUAUGCUACUCUUUAUAUAUUCAUAGCUUUUUCUACAACUAUUUGUCACAUCGUGAUUUUAUUGAACAUGUAUGAUGUAUCAUCUGGUGUUCACAGGGUGCCACAGAAGACUUGGUUUGGAGAAUUAUGCUACUCUAUUUAUUCCCUGCUAUCUUGGGUGAGGUUAUCCGAUAAUGGUGAUUCAUCCUUGGGAUAUAUUGGUCUUUAAUUAUUAUAUGUAUAUGAUAUGUUUUUUUUUCCGGAAUAAUUAUUCUUUGAUCAUGUUCAAGAUGGUGUUGAUUGUGUAUCCAGAACCUUUGUACUGCUAUAGCAUAGAUUACAAGAUUUUAGAAUGACUCUUUGGCCUUCCCAAGAUGAGGAAUUUUGGACAACUGAUUCUGAUUAUUAUAAACUUUAUUCUGAUGAUUUGUUUGUUGGUGAUAACUUAACUUUGUUGGGGAGGUUUUCUAAAUCUUCAUUAUUGUUUUGUUGUUUUUAUUGUGAUUUGUGAUUUAUGAUGAUGAUGAUGAUACUCCUAAAAAGAUACCCUCUUCAUUAUAGUGGCCAAAGGACUCUUCAGUAUUUGGAAGAAGCCAAAAUCAUGUCAUUUCAUAUGGGUACAUGAUUGCAAAUUGGAUGGAAAUUUGGUUAACUCUUCUAAGACUCUUCUUUACAUUUCAGUGUUUUUUUUAAUACUCAACACAUAUAAGGUCAGUUCCUUUGAGUUUUCUUUGUGGUUGUUAUAGGGGAGAGCCUAUAAAUGUGGUUGUUAUAGGGGAGAGAGUCUAUAAGUUCACUGUGGAACCCAUGGCAGGCAGAGGUUCACAUACUUACUGUUCAGCUUGGAAUUUUGAAUAGUGUCGUUUUUGUGUAUAUAUGUAUCAGAAUGUAAGUAUGAAUGAAGCAAGGAUGAGAAAUUCGUGACAACGUAGUUUUGCACCAGAAUCUGCAAUUGGCUACUAUUGAUGUGUUUUCAUUUGGUUAUCUCAACUCUGACUAUGCAUUUUUCAUGUUUCUUUGUAUAUUUUGAGGAUAUAGUUUUCUUGAUUACACGGACCUGUUUUUGCUUUGCUGUUACAUAGGAGAGAGCUGUGAAUGUACUGUCGGAUUUUAAAGCUUUGAGCUUUUGGAUUCAACGGGUUACUUUUUUUCCUUGAGUGUUUGUUGUGGAAUAGGCAGUGCUGGUAUUUAUUUAUGUUUAGAAUUAUGAAUCUGAGUAUUAGUAGUGCAUAUCUUUCUUGUAUAAUCAAGAUAUAAGUCUGUUUCUUGUAUACAUUUUGUAGUGAGCUGAUCGAUUUUUGAUUUCUGGAUAUCUGGAACAAUUUGCAAUUAUUGAUGAUAAUGGAUAAGAAUGAUAAUGGCCACAGAUACAUAGAUCAAGUUUCUUCAUUGAAGUCGUUCUCUAUUAUUUUUGUGCUUUCAUUGUAAAAAUACAAAUUGAAUUGUGAACCUGUUUGUCUGCAGUGUGGUUUGGUCAUGUUUUGAUUUCAGGAUUUGAUUUGUUGAUCUGAAGAAGUCUAUUGGAUAUAAUUUUUGAUAAAUUGGAUAACAACAUAGAACGGCUCCAGAUAAAUUUAAUUGAACUGUCAACAUAUCUUUCUUGAUUUGCUCUCGGAUUUUGGUUUCUUAAUUCAUAGCUUUUUCUACAACUAUUUAUCACAUUGUGAUUUUAUUGAACAUGUAUGAUGUAUCAUCUGGUGUUCACAGGGUGCCACAGAAGACUUGGUUUGGAGAAUUAUGCUACUCUAUUUAUUCCAUACUAUCUUGGGCGAGGAUUAUCCGAUAAUGGUGAUUCAUCCUUGGGAUAUAAUUGGUCUUUAUUAUAUGUAUGAUAUGUUUUUUUGCCGGAAUAAUUGUUUUGUUGUUUUUAUUGUGAUUUGUGAUUUAUGUUGAUGAUGAUACUCCUAAAAAGAUACCCUCUUCAUUAUAGUGGCCAAAGGACUCUUCAGUAUUUUGAAGAAGCCAAAAUCAUGUCAUUUCAUAUGGGUACAUGAUUGCAAAUUGGAUGGAAAUUCGGUCAACUCUUCUAAAACUCUUCUUUACAUUUCAGUGUUUUUUUUAUACUCAACACAUAAAAGGAUAAAAGGUCAGUUCCUUUGAGUUUUCUUUGUGGUUGUGAUAGCGGACAGAGACUAUAAAUGUGGUUGUUGUAGGGGAGAGAGCCUAUAAGUUCACUGUGGAACCCAUUGCAGGCAGAGGUUCACAUACUUACUUUACUGUUCAGCUUGGAAUUUUGGAUAGUGUCGUUUUUAUGUAUAUGUAUCGGAAUGUAAGUAUGAAUGAAGCAAGGAUGAGGGAUUCGUGACAACUUGGUUUGGCACCAGAAUCUGCAAUUGGCUACUAUUGAUGUGCUUUCAUUCGGUUAUCUCUACUCUGACUAUGCAUUUUUCAUGUUUCUUUGUAUCUUUUGAGGAUAUAGUUUUCUUGAUUCCAAGGACCUGUUUUUGCUUUGCUGUUACAGAGGAGAGAGCUGUGAAUGUACUGUGGGAUUUGAAAGCUUUUGAGCCUUUGGAUUCAAAGGGUUACUUUUUUCCUUGAGUGUUUGUUCCGGAAUAGGCGUCCUAGUAUGGUGUGGCAGUGCUGGUAUUUAUUAUUUAUGUUUAGAAUUAUGAAUCUGAGUAUUAGUAGUGCAUCUCUUUCUUGGAUAAUCAAGAUAUAAGUCUGUUUUGCAGUGAGUCGAACGCUUGUAGAUCCUUGAUACAUUUUGUAGUGAGCUCAUCGAUUUUUGAUUUCUGGAUAUCUGGAACAAUUUGUAAUUAUUGAUGAUAAUGGAUAAGAAUGACAACGGCCACAGAUACAUAGAUCAAGUUUCUUCAAUGAAGUCGUUCUCUAUUAUUUUUAUUUUUGUGCUUCCAUUGUAAAAUACAAAUUGAAUUGUGAACCUGUUUGUCUGCAGUGUGGUUUGUCAAAAAUGUUCUUUCAUCAAAGCAUGGAGCCUCAAGUUUUGGUUUGCCUAUUUCAUUUUAAAACAUAUUUUCUUUAUAUUUUAUUCCCUCUGGUUAUGCAGGGAUGAUAAGAAGUUUCUUUCUCUUGUUUGAUCUUCAGGUUUUGUAUUCUGAUUGUUUUCUCUUGUUUGAUCUUCCGAUUGUGAGGUUUGAUUUGGUUCUGGCUUUGAUACAUGUUAUUUUCUGCAGUGCAGUGUGUUUUGAAAUAACAACAUUUUAUUAGCAUCAAGUCUCAGGUUUAUUUUGGUACCUCUAUUUGGAAUACGAAUUAUUUUCAUUUCAUUUUUUCUCUGCCGAUUCUUAAUGUCUAGUCUUCUUGAUUUUCUCCUUUAUGAUUUAACCAUUAAUACUUAUUUUUUCUUACAACGAUAGUAGAGAUUUUUUUUUGUUAUUUGUUUGUGUAUUUUGGGACAGCUUGGUGGGCCUCUCUUUGUUAUGCUGAUAUGUGAUUUAGUUUGAAGAAUUAUAUUUUACUUUUCUUUCUUGGAUCUUUUUCUACAACCCGUUUGUUACAGCCUAAUUUUAUUUUUUAUAUGGUAUUAACAAAGUAAGUGUUGUACGGGUUGGUAUACCUCAAGUUUCCUUCUUUCUCAAACACACUGCACUUUUUAAUCUGUCUCAAUUUCUUUGCGCUUUGUGCUGCUUAUCUUCUGUACACUAAUUAAUCUUACACAUGAACCAUAAUGUUCAGCUGUUAUAUAUAUUUUCCUAGGCUUUAAUUUGGUUAUAUGUACUCAUAUCUGAAUUCUUUACAUUUCGUUAUAUUUGUUUCAGCAUCCACGCUUCUUGAUUCCCUUGUGAAAGCUUAUGGUGAGAUUAUCACAUACUUCUCCUUUUAUCUUUGGGAAAUAAUUGUUAAUUGAUAAGUUAUAUUUAUUUCUUCGAGCGUUGAAGCUUCUAUAACAUGAGUUUUACUCGGCUGUUUAGCAUAUAAGAUUCGGGAGUAACUCUUCCUUUCCAAGACGAGGAAUUUUGGACAACUUGGUUAGGUGCAGUUUGUUAUGAUGAUCUGUUUCAUCGGCCCAAGAACUCCCCUGGUAUUAAGGUAGAAGCUUAAAUUGGGACGUUUCAUAUUGAGCACAACAUGAUAUUGCAAAUUGGUGUAGUAUGCUUUAAUUUGGUCAUCCUCUGCUAUAAGAAAGACUUCAUAUUUAUAUCUUUUUGAUGCUCAUCGACUAUUAUGCGAGACAACUAUGAUUGUGUGGUGUACUGUGGACUGUGGCUAGCAGAGGUUAACAUAUUAUCUCUGGCUAUGAAUUCUUCACGUUUCUAUUUCUUGGGGAUUUAGUUUUCUUGAUUCCUAAAGUUUCAUGUGGGUGUCACAGGGAGGAUAUAUGACCAUGGGCUCUUCAUGGAUUUUUUUUUUCUUUUACUUUUUCAGGCUUUCUGUGUUGAAACAAUUGCUUAAGUUUAAUAUGGUGACAAUUAUUGGAUUUUAAGUCAAUUUUACUUGAUUAGUUCUCUGUUGAUUCUUGUUGUUUAUUCUUCUCGAUUUACAGGAGAGAUAUAAAUGAAUGUGCGACUGGCGGAGAUUAUAAAUGGGUUUGCUUUAAUACUAUUUUUUAAGCCUUAACCUUUAUUUUCUUACAAUUGCUUGUUGUGCAUUUGUUUUUACAUGUUUAGAAUCUGUGUAUAUUUUUCACUACUCAAUCUCAGGCCAUGAUUGGCUAACAAGUUAAUACUGACUCAUCUUAUCUUAUAUUUAGCCUGACAAGUCUGUACACGAAAGCACAUACAUCUUUCUAAAUAUACAGUUUCAUAAAUUUUGCAAUGUUGUUUAUAAAUUAAUGUAUUCUUGAAGUGUCAAUUAAUCAUCAAGAACUAACUCAUUAUUUGUACAACUAAAAUGAGAAGAACGAUUCUUAUUAUCAUACUGAAAUUACAAUAUAAUGGUACUCAUUCAAGAUAGAGGCCUACUACAUUGAUUCUUAGAGCUAUAUUUCUUGAUUUUUUGAUCCGUUGACUAGAUUGUUUGCUCCGUCGAGGCUAUAAAUAAACUUACAUUUGUGUAUUUGUUUUGGGAUACUCAGUAUCUACUUUUACAGUUCCUUUGAGUUUUCUGUGUGGGAGAGAGGUACACAUACUUUCCGUUCAACCUAUAAAUGUGUGGUUUGCUAGGGUUCGAAUGGCACGAAAAGGUUCACAUACUUUCCGUUCAGCCUUGGGAUAAAACAAUCGUUUCACUUACACAUGUAUUUGUUUUGGGAUAGUGUUUGGAGCAUGAGUAUGAAACAUUUAAGAUUCCAGAGUAAAUCUCUUUGCCAUCCCCAAGGAUGAGGAACUAGACAAGCUUGGUUUGGCACUUUUUUGUUCUUUUGACUCUUCUUUUAUGGAUUGGUUAUGAAGAAUUCUUUGCAUAAUUAUUAGAUAUAAUUCUUUAUUGGACAAUCCAGAUAUGUGUUUAUUCGUUUUGCAGCGAGAUGAAGUCAUUGGAUAUGUAGAACAUUUUGUGAUUCUUGAUUAAAUGGAUAAGAACAGAUAAUGUUUCCAGAUAAAUCAAUUUUCUUCAACGAGUCAUUCUUUAUAAUUUCUAUUUAUUUGCUUCGAUGGCAAGACAUACGAAUUGAACGGUGAAAAUGUUUUUCUGCAGCGCGCGGCUUCUUCGUAGCAUGGUGCCUAGAGUUUUACUUUGGUGAUCUCUAGUAAAUUCUUUUUGUUUCAAACUUUACUGAUUCUGAGAACAUAUAAUUCAUGAUUUUUUAUUUAUUCUUUUGUGCUGCAGGAGAGGAUAUGAUUUUGAUACCAUCAAACUUCUCUUGACUCUUCUUUAACUGAUAAGAUUUUGUUUUGUAUAAUUUUUUGAUAUAAUUCUUCGUUUGAAAAUCAAGAUAUGUGUUUAUUCGUUUUGCAGUGAGCAGAGAAGUUUUGAUGUCUAUAAUGACUUGAUACAAAGGACAAGAACGGAGAACGAUUCAAUAUAGAUAAAUCCAAUUUCUUCAAUAAGUCGUUCUAUACUAUUUUUAUUUAUUUUUGGGUUUUGAUUUCAAGACGUAUGAAUUAAAGUUUGAACAUGUUUUUCUAGUUUGUCAAAAUAAUAACCUUCUAAUUUGUUAUAGAGAAUCUUCUAUCCUACAUGGGUAUAGGGGAAGCCUUGUGGAGCAGCGAAUAUGCAAUUGGCUGAAGUACUUGUUAUUGUGCUUCCAUUCGGUGAUCUCUUUCCUGAUUAUGAAUUUUUCAUGUUUCUUUGUUUGUUUUGACGAUCUAGUAUACUUGAUUCCUUCAUCAGUUUCUGUGGUGUUACAGGGGUGAGAGACUAUGAAUUACUGUGCGACUUGAAAGUUGUGAUAGAUAUUAUUAAGGAAAUGCUUUGAGCCUUUGGAUAUAGCGGGUCAAUUUUCCUUGAAUGUACUUGUUCUAGAAUAGGUGUCCUAUGCUUUUUAUGUUAAGAAUUACAAAUCUUAAUAUUUGGAGAGAUUCAGUAAUUACUUGUUUUUUGCAGCGUGGUUUGCGAAAAUCAAAAUAAUAACUAUUUUUCAUCAUAACGUGGAGUCCUCAUGUUUUGAUUUUGUUAUCUCUCUUAAAAUAUUUUAGUUUUCAAUAACUCUAUUGCUUUUGAAUGCAUAUUUUCUUAAUAUUUUAUUUCCUCUGGUGUUGCAGGAAAGUAAUUUGUGAACACUGAUUCCUUCUGGUUCUGGUUCUAUAUCUUUCUUUUGUUUGAUAUUCAUGUUUUGUAUUCUUAUUCAUUUCUGAUCUUUUGAUUUGGUUCUGUGCUUUUUACUACUUCUGUAUCCAUGCUUCUCAUUCAUUCUUGGGAUAUAAUUGGUCAUUUUUUUAAUUAUAUGUAUUUGUUCCCAAACGAUAGUUCUUUGAUUGUGUACAAGCUGGUGUUAAAGUUUUUGUGUUUCAUCUAGUGUUGAAGUUGUGUGUUUCAGUAUCCACAACUUUAAAUAACUCUUUUCCCUUUCCAAGAUGAGAAAUUUUGGACAAUUUGGUUACGUCAUAUGUGUUGUUUGCUUUUCUGAGUUGUUUGUUGGCGACAUAAUAACUUUGUUGGGGAAGGUUUUUCAUAAUUUUCUUUUGUUGCUUUUAUUUUGAUUUGUGAUUUGUGAUUUAUGAUGAUGAUACUCCUAAAAUGAUAUCCUCUUCAUUACAGUGGCCCAAGGACAAGGCUUUGGCGCCAAGGUAUACAAUUCAAUCACUUUUCACUUCACUCCUCCUUGAUCACAUACUAACUUGAGCGUUGGAGUGCUAACAUGUUUUGCAGGUACCUUCCCCACCGUGAUCCUCCGUACCAGAAAUUUAACGCCACCGUAACUGCCUUAAGCCUCACCAUUGAAUUUAUCUCAUUCUGAUCUGGUCAGAACACACUGUAUUAGGAGGAAGCCAAAGUUAUGUCAUUUCAUAUUGGAUGGACUUUGUUCCGAUGAAUCAUCAUCUCCAGCAUGCUUUAAUUUGGUCAUCUCUUCUUAGACUCUUCACAUUUUCAGUCUUUUGUUUGAUACUCAGCAUCUACUUUGUCAGUUCCUUUGAAACAUACUGGAGAUAUAAAUCUGUGUUACAGGAGAGAUAACCUAUAAAUCUGUCGUUUGUUGUGGAACCCGUGGCAGGCAGGUUCACAUACUUACCCGUGAAACCGGUCAUUUUUUUUUUCACGUACAUGUGUAUACUUGUUUUUUGAUUUGGGAUAUCGUUGGAUUUUUCGUGUAUCUGUAUUAGGAAAGUGAGUAUGAAGAUUUGGGAUAUCGUUGGAUUUUUCGUGUCUCUGUAUUAGGAAAGUGAGUAUGAAGCAUUUAAGAUUCUAGGGUACAUAUAUCUUUACCCUCCCGAGGAUGCAUAAUUCUGGACAGCUCGGUUUGGAACUUUUAUGUUCAUUUGCCACUUCCUUUGUUAAAAUUGUUUUUCUAUAUUCUUUGUAUUCUUGUCAUUUGUGGUAUAUAAAAUAAUACUAACAAGAAUCUUCUCUCCCAAAUGGGUAUCCCUCACAAAAUUUGUAAUUGAAGAAAGAACUUGGUAUAGGGAAUGGAACACCAGAAUCUACGCUGACUGAAUUCUUCACUUUUUUUGUUUGUUUUGUGGAUCUAAUUUUUUUUAUUCCUUUGUUAGUUUGGCAUAGAUUAUCUAUCAAGGACAUGUUUUUUCUUUGGUGUAACAGGGGGAAGAGGCCAUGAUUGUGUACCGUGGGAUUUGAAAGUUGUGACAGACAUUAUUAAGGAAAUGCUUUCAGCCUUUGGAUUUAACGGGUUAAUGUUCUUGUUUUGGAAUAAUUGUGCUGUGAUGGUGUCGAUUUUUAUGUUCAGAAUUACGAAUCUAAAUAUUAGGGAGAGCUUCAGAGUUACAUAUCCAUAUCUUUCUUGAAUAAUCUUGAGAUAUACAAUCUGUUUUGCAGUGAAUUGAAGUUUGAUAAAAAGAACAUUUGUAGAUACUUGGUACAAUGGAUAAGAAAGGAGAUUCAAGAUAAAUCAUGUUUCUUCAAUGAGUCAUUCUUUACUAUUUAUAUUUUCGAGCUUUGUUCAUAAGACAUACAAAUUAAAUUGUGAAUAUACUAUUCUGCAGAAUGGUUUGACAAAAUAAUGCCGUUCUUCAUAGCGUAGAGCCUCAAAUUUUGAAUUGGAGAUCUUCAGUAAAUUCUUUUCGUUUCAGUGUUUCUAUAUUUUGAGAGCAUAUAUCUCUUUAUUUAGUAAUAUUUUCGAUGGAUUUUCAGGAGAGGAUAUCUAUGAAAACACAAUUCUUCUGGUUCUUCAUUUAUUAUUUUCUAUGGUACUCUGGUCUCUUGAUGUUGAGGUUUGAUUAGGUUAUUGCUGGUUUCGAUCGUGGGGUUUGUUGUUCUUAUAUCAAUGAUCUGCUGCUAUGAAUGAUUUGUAUCGAUUGCCCUUCCAAUUCUCGUUUGAUUAUAUGUGUAGUUCUUUGAUAUAAUUUGUCUUUUGAUAAAUGAACUAUUAAAAAUAAAAGAAUAUUGAGAUAUUCGUUUAUCCAUUUUGCAGCAAGCUGAUCUCUGGAUAUAUGGAACAAUUUGCGAUUAUAAUGGUUAAGAACGAUAAUGGCUACAGAUACAUAAUCAAAUUUCUAGGAUUUGUAAUUCUUAAUUAUUUUUAUUUUUGGGGCUUUGAUUGCAAGACAUACAAAUUGAAUAUUGAACCUGUUUUCAUCAUAGCUUGGAGCCCACAAGUUUUUUCUUGAUAUUUUAUUUCCUCUGAUGUUGCAGGAAGGUCAUUUGUGAACACUGAUUCUUUCUUGAUCUGGUUCUAUCUUUCUUAUGUUUGAUCUUCAUGUUUUGCAUUCUUAUUCCUUUCUGGUAUUUUGAUUAGGUGCUGGCUUUAACCACCUUACAUGUGAAUUUAAAUAAGAUGUUGUUUUCUGCAGUGUAGUGUGUUUUGAAACAAUAACAUUCUGUGUAGUAUUAACUAUCAAGCCUCAGGGUUUUUUUGCUACCAUGUACUUGGAUUGUGAAUUAUUUUCAUUUCAUUUCUAUUCUUUCAUUUCUAUUCUUAUUGUCUAGUCAAAUUGCUUAUUUGUUCAUUUGGCUUUUUUAUCUGAAUUCUGACAGUGAAGAAGUUUACAUGAGGAAUUUGGUGGGCAUGUCGUUGUAAUGCUGAUAUUCUUUCUUCUUUGUUCUUUUCUUUUUUUCCUAGUGUAAUUUUUUUUCUGUAAAUGUAUCAUUGCUAUUGGAGAUGAGUUUCUUUGCCUCUUUGUACACCUUCUGUGAACAAGUUAACAAGGACCCACGAACCAUAAUGUUCUGACAGACGUUUUAUAUAUUUUCUAGGCUUUAAUUUGGCAAUUUGGUGAUCUCUACUCUGAUUAUGAAUUCUUUACAUUUUGGAAUAGUCGUUUCAGCAUCUAUGCUUCUUGAUUCCUUUGUCAAAGCUUAGGGUGAGGUUAUCACAUACUCCACCUUUUAUCUUUGAGUGACAUGUAUUUCUUCCAGUGUUGAAGUUUGUGUGUGUUUCUGUAUCUGUAACUUCAGUUUUACUCUGUGGUUUUGCAUACAAGCUUUUGGAGUAACACUUUCCUUCCCAAGAUGAGUUUGUUAUGAUGAUUUGUUUGUUGCGGAUCAAUUGACUACAGUGGCCCUAGGACUCCUGGUAUUUCCGUUGUUAUUUUUUAUUUGUGAUGUAUACUCCUAAAAAGAUAUCCUCAUGGCUACUGUGGCCGUAGGACUCCCCUGGUAUUAGGUUGAAGCUUAAAUUGUGGCAUUUCAUAUCGAUUACAAGAUAUUCCCAAAUUCGGUAGAAAUUUGUUCCAAUGAACUAUCAUGUUCUGCAGAUUGUGUACUAUGCUUGGUUUGGUCAUCUCUACUAAUAAAGACUCUUCACAGUUCAGAGACUUGUCAAGAUAAAACCAGUAAUUUGGCUUUUGGCAAGCAAGGGUUAACAUCUGUUUGUUUUGAGAUUGGGGGAUGUUUGUCUUUUGAUGGUGUCCUGCUAGUGUUGGUGUUUUUUGUUUUGUUUUUGUAUCAGCUGCAUGAACAUUGAUGCAGACAAGAUUCAAAGUACAUCUCUUUGCCCGCACCAAGGAUGAGGAAUUCUGAACAGCUUGGUUUUGGCUCUAUCUUGUUCUGUUAGUUUAUCACUUCCUUUGUUGUGAUUCUUUUACUAUUUUCUUGUCCUAUUUUUUAUAAGAAUCGUCGCUCCUAAAUGGGCAUCUAUCACAGUGGGAAAGCAUUUGGUGAUUUCUACUCUGACUAUGAACUUCAUGUUUCUUUCUAUUGAAUGUAGUUUUCUUGAUUCCUUAAGUUCCAUGUGGUGUGGGUGUCAUAGGGAGGAUAUGAACUGUGAUGGCUGUUGCUAGAUUAUGAAGUUCUGCUUGGUUGUUACAGUGUAGAUAACCUACGAAUGUAAUGUGGGAUAAAACUGGUCAUUUUUAUUUAAAUGUACUUUUUAUAGAUUGGAAUAGUUAUUUUUUAAUGGUAUGAUGUGUUUAUGUUGAUUUUUGUGUGUUUAUCAGAUUGGGAGAGCUAUAGACUUUGUGAUUCUGUAGUAUAUCUGUGUUUUUCUAGAUGAGGAGCUGAGUAUAUAUGAUUCUGGUGUACAUCUCUUAGCUUGGUUAUUGUGUGAGUUUUAUGUCAUUCACAUUCAUUGGCUCUGGAUAAAUCUAAUUUCGUCAUUGAAUUGUUAUGUAUUUUUUUCUUAGGCUUUGAUCCGGCUUUCUGUGUUGAAACAAUUAAGUUGUCUAUAGUGUCAAGCCUCGAGUAUACGUUAUUGUUCAUUGUUUAUGUAUUGAUUUAUAGGAAAGAUAAAUAUAUGAAUGUGCGACUAUGGCGGAGAUUAUAAUCAGUUGGGGGUUUACUUACCCUUAAUACUAUGCUUUCAUAAAGAUUCUUGUCCUAGAUUUGUUAUUUGUUUGUAUCAUUCCUGAGAAUCCGUAUAACGAGGAUGCCUAAAUUGUGUCAUUUCAUAUUGAGUUUUCUGUGUGGCUGCUAGAUAGCUUAUGAGUUAUGAAUAUGUGUUGUGCUGUGGAGCUCGUGGCAGGUUGAGGUUAACAUACUAUCCAUUCAGUUCACAGCCUUGGGAUCUGUCAUGUUCCUUGUGUCCUGCUAGUCUUGGUGAUUUUGUGUUUCUGCAUCAGGAACAUGAGAACUGAAGCAUACAAGAUUCUAAAGUAUACCUGUUCUCUGGAUUAGGAAUUCUGGACUAAAUUUACUUAAAAGCUGGUUUGGCGCUUUACUUCAUCCAUGUGGUAUAGGUGUGUAGCCUAAAUUUUAUAUUGUUUCACAUGGAGGACCAGAAUCUACAAUUGGUUGUGACAUGCUCUCAUUGCUGCUAUGCUUUCAUUUGGUGAUCUCUACUUUGACCAUGAAUUUUUCAUGUUUCUUUGUCUUUUAUGAGGAUCUAUUUUUCGCAAUUCUUGUGUGAAACUAUGGACAUGGACUGUGAACAUGGACUUGUGAGGUAGUGUGAUUUCUGCUUUGGGAGUUGCAGGGGAGAUAUCCUAUGAAUGUACUGUGGGAAUGAUAAAGUUGUGGUGGACAUUAUGAAGGGCAUUCUGGCAUUAUUUUGGCCUCAUGUCAAAACGGGAUAAAACUAUUGAACGUGUGAUUCUUUUCUGGUUCUAUCUUUCUCAUGAUUGUAUUCUAUCUGGUUGGUGGUUUCGGUUUCUUUUUUGCCUCUGAAGUUUUCUGUACUUGAUUUAUUAAAACUAGUAAUCAUGCUGCUUUCUGUCUUUCUGAUUUCAAUCAGAGUUAUUGUUUGUUCCUUCAAAUUUUUGUGGCUUAUCCAUGAAACUCUAAUGAAAAACAGGAAAGAUUGAAAGUUGAAUUUGCAAAAAGUUGUUUCAUUCUUUACUGACAUAAUCAUCCUUGAGAGCUCAUACUUGGACAGUGCAUCCAAAUUGUGCAACCAAUAGGUGAGAUGUGUUUGUCAUGGUCUGUUGGAAUAAUUAAGAUUUAAUGAUGAUUGUGCAUGCCUACUCUAAAACACAACAUUCUUCAACUGCAAAAUUGGGAUGAGCUUUUUAAUCGGUGUCUGAGAAUAAAGCGAUAUCCCAUAGGCUUCACAAAUAUUAAAGCAGGCCUGAUCAGGAUUUCUUGGACGUGCUUUGAUCGCGUGUGUAACGUAUCAUGAACCUCUUUUAUGCAUAUUAGAACAACCUAGUAUUCAACGAUGAAGCGUCGAGAGCAACAGUAGACCAAUGCUCCAAGAUCACAAAAGACAAAGACACCACAUCUCCAUUGAAACCUUACAACAUUGGGUACAAAGGUCAUCUCUCUUGUAUAUCUAAUUUUUUGUCCAUUCAUUUGUGAGACUUAAUCAUUCGCAUUUGAAACCCAACACUUUUAGGGUUUAAUUUGUAAUGAUUAUUUUGAUAUGAAGUA
Long non-coding RNA from Trifolium pratense (red clover), 14280 nucleotides. RefSeq lists it as uncharacterized. Lineage: Eukaryota; Viridiplantae; Streptophyta; Magnoliopsida; Fabales; Fabaceae. The transcript has 4 exons. The record is from RefSeq and is a predicted model, not a curated record.